Molecule: non-coding RNA, 962 nt
Organism: Acomys russatus (golden spiny mouse)
Lineage: Eukaryota; Metazoa; Chordata; Mammalia; Rodentia; Muridae
Source: the annotation of a RefSeq genome assembly
CAAAGUCUAGAAAGGCAACAAGAGAAGCCUGCAGGGCCUCAGCUGUGCUGUGAUUCCAGGACACAGAGCUCUGAGGCAUCUUAAUCAUGGCCUGGGCCCCUCUCCUUUUGCCUCUUCUCUCUAUAUAUGCAGGUUCUGUGACCUCCUAUGAGCUGACCCAGCCACCUUCAGCAUCAGUCACUGUGGGAGAGACUGUCAAAAUCACUUGCUUAGGGGAUGAAUUGCCAAAGAAGUAUGCUGCUUGGAUUCAGCAAAAGCCCACUGAACGCAUCGUGAGUGUAAUAUAUAAAGAUAGUGAGAGACCCUCGGGGAUCCCAGACCGAUUCUCUGGGUCCAGUUCAGGGACAACAGCCACUCUGACCAUCACCGGAGCCUUGCCUGAGGAUGAGGCUAGCUAUUUCUGUUUGUCAUCAUAUGGUGAUGAUGAUAUUCACAUUGAUUUACACAGAUGGGGAAGUGACUCAAAAACCCUUUCUCUAUAACUUACAUCAUCUUCCUACAGCAAAAGGAAGAACAAAGACAAACCUAUGAACAUGCCUAGGCCUAGUUCACUUUCAUUUGACCUUUCAACCAUGUCUUUUCUUUCUAGUCCUCCAGAAGACUCUAUAGUGACUGGAUUGGAUAGGUUUAGAUAGAGAUAUACUGCACAAAUGUUUUUUUUGGUAAAAUGUGAUUGGGAAAAGGGGACAUAAAGAUGAGUAACACAUCAAGGCAAGAUUCAUGUCUCCAUAUAUCCUUACUGUGAAGUGUGACCCUCCAUUUGACAGAGACUGUGGGUUAAUUCCUUCAAUUACUCAACUAGUCAUUGCUUCUGAAGUCAUAAUAUUUUACAACAAUACCAUAUAUUGAACAUGGUAAUUCAGAAAAAGGGCUAUAAAGGGAUCCCCAUCAAAUCAGAAACAUCCACCAAAGCAUUGUUUCUGUCAUCUGAUAGAGGUGCUUUCAGUGGAAUGUGCAAUUGU